AACGAACGCUGGCGGCAUGCCUAACACAUGCAAGUCGAACGAAGCCUUCGGGCUUAGUGGCGCACGGGUGCGUAACGCGUGGGAAUCUGCCCUUGGGUUCGGGAUAACAGUUAGAAAUGACUGCUAAUACCGGAUGAUGUCUUCGGACCAAAGAUUUAUCGCCCAAGGAUGAGCCCGCGUAGGAUUAGGUAGUUGGAGGGGUAAUGGCGCACCAAGCCGACGAUCCUUAGCUGGUCUGAGAGGAUGAUCAGCCACACUGGGACUGAGACACGGCACAGACUGCUACGGGAGGCAGCAGUGGGGAAUAUUGGACAAUGGGCGAAAGCCUGAUCCAGCAAUGCCGCGUGAGUGAUGAAGGCCUUAGGGUUGUAAAGCUCUUUUACCAGGGAUGAUAAUGACAGUACCUGGAGAAUAAGCUCCGGCUAACUCCGUGCCAGCCGCCGCGGUAA
RNAcentral lists this ribosomal RNA (449 nucleotides) under uncultured bacterium. RNAcentral's name for it is "partial 16S ribosomal RNA". It matches the Rfam family "Bacterial small subunit ribosomal RNA", at positions 29 to 523 of the family's 1533-position model. The record is from RNAcentral.